This 208-nucleotide ribosomal RNA is filed under the name uncultured bacterium. RNAcentral's name for it is "partial 16S ribosomal RNA". It matches the Rfam family "Bacterial small subunit ribosomal RNA", at positions 568 to 774 of the family's 1533-position model. The record is from RNAcentral.
CGCGCAGGCGGUCUUGUCCGUCAGGUGUGAAAGCUCGGGGCUCAACCCCCGGAAGUGCACUUGAAACAGCAAGACUUGAAUACGGGAGAGGAGAGAGGAAUUCCUGGUGUAGAGGUGAAAUUCGUAGAUAUCAGGAGGAACACCGAUGGCGAAGGCAUCUCUCUGGACCGAUAUUGACGCUGAGGCGCGAAGGCGUGGGUAGCGAACG